CCUUAGUAGCGGCGAGCGAACCGGGAUGAGCUCAGAUUUGUAAUCUGGCGUCUUUGAGGCGUCCGAGUUGUAAUCUUCAGAGGCGUCUUCCGCGCCGGACCGUGUCCAAGUCCCCUGAAACGGGGCAUCAAGGAGGGUGAUAAUCCCGUGCUUGACACGACGACCGGGGCUCUGUGAUGCGUCCUCAACGAGUCGAGUUGUUUGGGAAUGCAGCUCUAAACGGGUGGUAAAUUCCAUCUAAGGCUAAAUAUUGGCGAGAGACCGAUAGCGAACAAGUACCGUGAGGGAAAGAUGAAAAGAACUUUGAAAAGAGAGUUAAACAGUAUGUGAAAUUGUUGAAAGGGAAACGAUUGAAGUCAGUCGCGUCUCCAGGGGCUCAGCCGGUUCUGCCGGUGUACUCCCUUGUUGACGGGUCAACAUCAAUUCUGGCCGGUGGAAAAGUUCUGGAGGAAUGUGGCACCACUCGUGGUGUGUUAUAGCCUCCGGUCUCACACAUUGGUCGGGAUUGAGGACCGCAGCUCGCCCUCAUCGGGUCGGGGAUUCGUCCCACGCACGAGCUUAGGAUGUUGGCUAAAUGGCUUUAACGACC
This 589-nucleotide ribosomal RNA is filed under the name Trimorphomyces sp. RNAcentral's name for it is "eukaryotic LSU rRNA". It matches the Rfam family "Eukaryotic large subunit ribosomal RNA", at positions 78 to 649 of the family's 3401-position model. Lineage: Eukaryota; Fungi; Basidiomycota; Tremellomycetes; Tremellales; Trimorphomycetaceae. The record is from RNAcentral.